GACGAACGCUGGCGGCGUGCUUAACACAUGCAAGUCGAACGGAAAGGCCCUGCUUUUGUGGGGUGCUCGAGUGGCGAACGGGUGAGUAACACGUGAGUAACCUGCCCUUGACUUUGGGAUAACUUCAGGAAACUGGGGCUACUACCGGAUAGGAGCUCCUGCUGCAUGGUGGGGGUUGGAAAGUUUCGGCGGUUGGGGAUGGACGCGCGGCUUACCAGCUUGUUGGUGGGGUAGUGGCUUACCAAGCCUUUGACGGGUCGCCGGCCUGAGAGGGUGACCGGCCACAUUGGGACUGAGAUACGGCCCAGACUCCUACGGGAGGCAGCAGUGGGGAAUAUUGCACAAUGGGCGGAAGCCGGAUGCAGCAACGCCGCGUGCGGGAUGACGGCCUUCUGGUUGUAAACCGCUUUCGCCUGUGACGAAGCGGGAGUGACGGUAAUGGGUAAAGAAGCACCGGCUAACUACGUG
This 468-nucleotide ribosomal RNA is filed under the name uncultured bacterium. RNAcentral describes it as "partial 16S ribosomal RNA". It matches the Rfam family "Bacterial small subunit ribosomal RNA", at positions 28 to 507 of the family's 1533-position model. The record is from RNAcentral.